AGUUAUGCGGCUAAAAUAACCAAUAAGGGACUGCUUGGUUAGAUGUAAUUAUAAAUGUAGUGCAGUUAGAGAUGCAUGUAGUUAAAAAUGCAGCAGUUACAACUACAUACAUUCUGUUUGGUUGGAUAUAGUAGAGAGCGCUGCAAGUAUAAAUAUUUUGUUUGGUUGCAUGCAGCUGAGAAAUAAUUUUUAAAAUUUUAUCAUUUUAUAUAUAUGAUGGUGAGAUUACCUCCAAUGUAAAAAAGGAAAAUAAUUUUUGUUUAAAAAAUAAUUGAGCAGGUAAGCAUACUUUUUAUUUAAAAUUACUCUCUCCAACUGCUGCAGUUGGAACUGUGGCCAAUUUGGACGUAGUUCGAACGGCUGCAUUUGAGCCUCCUCCUACAGUUCCUACUGCAGUAGUUGGAGUUAAAUAUAUCAAACCAAACACCAAAUUUGCAUUUGCAUGCAGUUACAACUGCAGUGCAGUUGUAACUACAUGCAACCAAACGGCCCCUAAGAGUAUGUCAAGUGACAAUAAUCUAGAAAUCUGCCUAUGAUUCAGGUGUCGAACAAAUUCUAGACCCUCAUGCGGGCAUCUAUCAAAUCCAAAUAGUAAAACACAUAUAAAAGUAAUUAAAUCAUUCAAGAUAAAAAAAAAAGAAAAAACUUCAAAAACCCCCCUGUGGUUUCGUAGUUUCUCACUUUGCCCCCUUGUGGUUUAAAAUGUAUCAAAUUGCCCCCCUGUGGUUUCGUUUUUAUCUUUUCGAUAGCUUUUUCGUUAAUAUUUCAUUAAAUUAUAUACAAAAAACUUCAGAUACCCAUCUAGAUUUAUCAAAUAUUCACUUUAGUACCCUUUAAUUUUAACUUUAUCACCGAUUUAAGAAAAAAAAAAAUAAAUUGAUAAGAAAAAGAGAAAAAAGAAACCAUAGGGGUGCAAAUUAAUACAUUGUAAACCACGUGGGGGAAAAAUGAGAAACUACGAAACCACGGGGGGGUUUUUGAAGUUUUCCCAAAAAAAAAAA
This 1001-nucleotide long non-coding RNA is filed under the name Ananas comosus (pineapple). RNAcentral describes it as "long non-coding RNA (ACOM_LNC015228)". The record is from RNAcentral. Lineage: Eukaryota; Viridiplantae; Streptophyta; Magnoliopsida; Poales; Bromeliaceae.